UGGGGAAUAUUGGGCAAUGGGCGAAAGCCUGACCCAGCAACGCCGCGUGAAGGAAGAAGGUUUUCGGAUUGUAAACUUCUGUCCUCAGGGAAGAAACAAAUGACGGUACCUGAGGAGGAAGCCCCGGCUAACUACGUGCCAGCAGCCGCGGUAAUACGUAGGGGGCAAUCGUUGUCCGGAAUGACUGGGCGUAAAGGGCGCGUAGACGGUUGUCUAAGUCUGGAGUGAAAGUCCUGCUUUUAAGGUGGGAAUUGCUUUGGAGACUGGAUGACUUGAGUGCGGAAGAGGUAAGUGGAAUUCCCAGUGUAGCGGUGAAAUGCGUAGAGAUUGGGAAGAACACCAGUGGCGAAGGCGACUUACUGGGCCGUAACUGACGUUGAUGCGCGAAAGCGUGGGGAGCGAACA
This 405-nucleotide ribosomal RNA is filed under the name uncultured prokaryote. RNAcentral describes it as "bacterial SSU rRNA". It matches the Rfam family "Bacterial small subunit ribosomal RNA", at positions 355 to 774 of the family's 1533-position model. The record is from RNAcentral.